UAGGGAAUCUUCCGCAAUGGACGAAAGUCUGACGGAGCAACGCCGCGUGAGUGAUGAAGGCUUUCGGGUCGUAAAACUCUGUUGUUAGGGAAGAACAAGUGCUAGUUAAAUAAGCUGGCACCUUGACGGUACCUAACCAGAAAGCCACGGCUAACUACGUGCCAGCAGCCGCGGUAAUACGUAGGUGGCAAGCGUUAUCCGGAAUUAUUGGGCGUAAAGCGCGCGCAGGUGGUUUCUUAAGUCUGAUGUGAAAGCCCACGGCUCAACCGUGGAGGGUCAUUGGAAACUGGGAGACUUGAGUGCAGAAGAGGAAAGUGGAAUUCCGUGUGUAGCGGUGAAAUGCGUAGAGAUAUGGAGGAACACCAGUGGCGAAGGCGACUUUCUGGUCUGUAACUGACACUGAGGCGCGAAAGCGUGGGGAGCAAACA
Molecule: ribosomal RNA, 428 nt
Filed under: uncultured Bacillus sp.
Lineage: Bacteria; Bacillati; Bacillota; Bacilli; Caryophanales; Bacillaceae
Description: bacterial SSU rRNA
Rfam family: Bacterial small subunit ribosomal RNA
Source: RNAcentral